AGAGUGAACGCUGGCGGUAGGCCUAACACAUGCAAGUCGAACGGCAGCACAGAGGAGCUUGCUCCUUGGGUGGCGAGUGGCGGACGGGUGAGGAAUACAUCGGAAUCUACCCUUUCGUGGGGGAUAACGUAGGGAAACUUACGCUAAUACCGCAUACGACCUUCGGGUGAAAGUAGGGGAUCGCAAGACCUUACGCGAUUGGAUGAGCCGAUGUCGGAUUAGCUUAUUGGCGGGGUAAUGGCCCACCAAGGCGACGAUCCGUAGCUGGUCUGAGAGGAUGAUCAGCCACACUGGAACUGAGACACGGGUCCAGACUCCUACGGGAGGCAGCAGUGGGGAAUAUUGGACAAUGGGCGCAAGCCUGAUCCAGCCAUACCGCGUGGGUGAAGAAGGCCUUCGGGUUGUAAACCACUGUCGCGAGGGACGAAAAAAUGACGGUACCUCGAAAGGAAGCACCGGCUAACUCUGCGCCAGCAGCCGCGGU
This 484-nucleotide ribosomal RNA is filed under the name uncultured bacterium. RNAcentral's name for it is "SSU rRNA". It matches the Rfam family "Bacterial small subunit ribosomal RNA", at positions 26 to 521 of the family's 1533-position model. The record is from RNAcentral.